Molecule: ribosomal RNA, 685 nt
Filed under: Streptomyces sp. PanFS5
Lineage: Bacteria; Bacillati; Actinomycetota; Actinomycetes; Kitasatosporales; Streptomycetaceae
Description: bacterial SSU rRNA
Rfam family: Bacterial small subunit ribosomal RNA
Source: RNAcentral
GCGAACGGGUGAGUAACACGUGGGCAAUCUGCCCUUCACUCUGGGACAAGCCCUGGAAACGGGGUCUAAUACCGGAUAACACCGGCUUCCGCAUGGAAGCUGGUUGAAAGCUCCGGCGGUGAAGGAUGAGCCCGCGGCCUAUCAGCUUGUUGGUGGGGUAAUGGCCCACCAAGGCGACGACGGGUAGCCGGCCUGAGAGGGCGACCGGCCACACUGGGACUGAGACACGGCCCAGACUCCUACGGGAGGCAGCAGUGGGGAAUAUUGCACAAUGGGCGAAAGCCUGAUGCAGCGACGCCGCGUGAGGGAUGACGGCCUUCGGGUUGUAAACCUCUUUCAGCAGGGAAGAAGCGAAAGUGACGGUACCUGCAGAAGAAGCGCCGGCUAACUACGUGCCAGCAGCCGCGGUAAUACGUAGGGCGCAAGCGUUGUCCGGAAUUAUUGGGCGUAAAGAGCUCGUAGGCGGCUUGUCACGUCGGGUGUGAAAGCCCGGGGCUUAACCCCGGGUCUGCAUCCGAUACGGGCAGGCUAGAGUGUGGUAGGGGAGAUCGGAAUUCCUGGUGUAGCGGUGAAAUGCGCAGAUAUCAGGAGGAACACCGGUGGCGAAGGCGGAUCUCUGGGCCAUUACUGACGCUGAGGAGCGAAAGCGUGGGGAGCGAACAGGAUUAGAUACCCUGGUAGUCCA